Molecule: ribosomal RNA, 275 nt
Filed under: uncultured bacterium
Lineage: Bacteria
Description: partial 16S ribosomal RNA
Rfam family: Bacterial small subunit ribosomal RNA
Source: RNAcentral
CGCACCUGCCGGCGACCGGCGCACGGGUGAGUAACACGUAUGGAACCUGCCGCCACAGGGGGAUAACCCGGGGAAACCCGGCCUAAUACCCCAUGCCGCCCGGACCGGGCAUCCGGACCGGGCGAAAGGAGGAAUCCGGUGGCAGCUGGGCAUGCGGAGCAUUAGCUUGACGGCGGGGUAACGGCCCACCGUGGCGACGAUGCGUAGGGGUUCUGAGAGGAAGGCCCCCCACACUGGAACUGAGACACGGUCCAGACUCCUACGGAAGGCAGCAG